This 869-nucleotide ribosomal RNA is filed under the name uncultured archaeon. RNAcentral describes it as "bacterial SSU rRNA". It matches the Rfam family "Archaeal small subunit ribosomal RNA", at positions 5 to 879 of the family's 1478-position model. The record is from RNAcentral.
CGGUUGAUCCUGCCGGAGGUCACUGCUAUUGGGAUUCGAUUAAGCCAUGCGAGUCGAGAGGGUUCGGCCCUCGGCUGACGGCUCAGUAACACGUGGAUAAUCUACCCUUAGGUGGAGGAUAAUCUCGGGAAACUGAGGAUAAUACUCCAUAGAUCUAGGAUGCUGGAAUGCAUCUAGAUUGAAAGCUCCGGCGCCUAAGGAUGAGUCUGCGGACUAUCAGGUUGUAGUCAGGGUAAAGACCUGACUAGCCUACGACGGAUAUGGGUUGUGAGAGCAAUAACCCAGAGACGAUAUCUGAGACACGAUAUCGGGCCCUACGGGGCGCAGCAGGCGCGAAAACUUCACACUGUGCGAAAGCACGAUGAGGGAAUCCCAAGUGCUUGCACGUAAGUGUAAGCUGUUUCUUUGUUUAAAAAGCAAAGAGAGGAAGGGCUGGGUAAGACGGGUGCCAGCCGCCGCGGUAAUACCUGCAGCUCAAGUGGUGACCGCUAUUAUUGGGCCUAAAACGUUCGUAGCCGGUUUAGUAAAUGCCUGGGUAAAUCGUGUAGCUUAACUAUACGAAUUCCGGGUAGACUGCUAAGCUUGGGACCGGGAGAAGCUAGAGGUACUCCUGGGGUAGAGGUGAAAUUCUGUAAUCCUAGGGGGACCACCAGUGGCGAAGGCGUCUAGCUAGAACGGGUCUGACGGUGAGGAACGAAACCCUGGGGCGCAAACCGGAUUAGAUACCCGGGUAGUCCAGGGUGUAAACGAUGCUUGCUAGAUGUUAGUUGGGCCAUGAGCCCAACUAGUGUCGUAGGGAAGUUGUUAAGCAAGCCGCCUGGGAAGUACGGUCGCAAGACUAAAACUUAAAGGAAUUGGCGGGGGAGCAC